GAUGAACGCUGGCGGCGUGCCUAAUACAUGCAAGUCGAGCGAACAGACGAGGAGCUUGCUCCUCUGACGUUAGCGGCGGACGGGUGAGUAACACGUGGAUCACCUACCUAUAAGACUGGGAUAACUUCGGGAAACCGGAGCUAAUACCGGAUAAUAUAUUGAACCGCAUGGUUCAAUAGUGAAAGACGGCUUUGCUGUCACUUAUAGAUGGAUCCGCGCCGCAUUAGCUAGUUGGUAAGGUCACGGCUUACCAAGGCGACGAUGCGUAGCCGACCUGAGAGGGUGAUCGGCCACACUGGAACUGAGACACGGUCCAGACUCCUACGGGAGGCAGCAGUAGGGAAUCUUCCGCAAUGGGCGAAAGCCUGACGGAGCAACGCCGCGUGAGUGAUGAAGGUCUUCGGAUCGUAAAACUCUGUUAUUAGGGAAGAACAAAUGUGUAAGUAACUAUGCACGUCUUGACGGUACCUAAUCAGAAAGCCACGGCUAACUACGUG
RNAcentral lists this ribosomal RNA (497 nucleotides) under uncultured bacterium. Its description in RNAcentral is "partial 16S ribosomal RNA". It matches the Rfam family "Bacterial small subunit ribosomal RNA", at positions 28 to 507 of the family's 1533-position model. The record is from RNAcentral.